This 405-nucleotide ribosomal RNA is filed under the name uncultured Bacillota bacterium. Its description in RNAcentral is "uncultured Firmicutes bacterium partial 16S ribosomal RNA". It matches the Rfam family "Bacterial small subunit ribosomal RNA", at positions 355 to 774 of the family's 1533-position model. The record is from RNAcentral. Lineage: Bacteria; Bacillati; Bacillota.
UGGGGAAUAUUGGGCAAUGGGGGAAACCCUGACCCAGCAACGCCGCGUGAGUGAAGAAGGUUUUCGGAUUGUAAAACUCUGUCCCAUGUGAAGAAACAAAUGACGGUAGCAUGGGAGGAAGCCCCGGCUAACUACGUGCCAGCAGCCGCGGUAAUACGUAGGGGGCAAGCGUUGUCCGGAAUAACUGGGCGUAAAGGGUGCGUAGGCGGAUCGAUAAGUCGGUUGUGAAAGACCCAGGCUUAACUUGGGAAGUGCAGCCGAAACUGUCAAUCUGGAGUGCAAGAGAGGGAAGCGGAAUUCCCAGUGUAGCGGUGAAAUGCGUAGAUAUUGGGAAGAACACCAGUGGCGAAGGCGGCUUUCUGGCUUGUAACUGACGCUGAGGCACGAAAGCGUGGGGAGCGAACA